This 465-nucleotide ribosomal RNA is filed under the name Triticum aestivum (bread wheat). RNAcentral describes it as "partial small subunit ribosomal RNA". The record is from RNAcentral. Lineage: Eukaryota; Viridiplantae; Streptophyta; Magnoliopsida; Poales; Poaceae.
AUGAGAGGCGCCACCUCUGCCUCCACCCCCCCACUGGGCAAGGAGCUCGAGGCAGGCGGUCUGGGAAGGCCAGAGGAACCAGGAGCUCAUCCCUCCUCCCAUGGCUGCCUCGUGGAUCUGGAGGUGCCUGUUGCAGGCGGCGCGAGCGAUGCAAGCCGGCGGCGAACUAGGUCCAUGGACAUUGUCAUAAUGGUCACCUUAUCGCAGUGUAUUAUUUUUGGAUCUCAUAUUCCUCAAGGCGCUCCAUCCUCUGAUUCAAUGUCUGACGAUCUAAGAAAUAAGAGGAGGAAUAAUCUAGCAGAAGAAUUUGGUGAAGAAGAACAAGAAAAGAAUACCUUUAUCCUGAUAGGCAUGGAAACACCGGUUCGCAUUGAGUGCAUCAUCGCUAAUCAGCUACUAUUAGAGAGCAAGGGACAUAUAAGAAAUCUCCAGGUAGCUUCACUUAGAUGCAUCAUCUUCUGCUAG